AGGGCGCACGGGGGAUGCCUUGGUGCCAAGAGCCGAUGAAGGGCGCGGCGAGACUGCGAAAAGCCUCGGCUGGCUGUCGGGCAAGCUGAGCCGGGGAUUCCCGAAUGGGGCAACCCAUCCAGGUGAACCCUGGAUACUCCUGGUUGAACACAUAGACCAGGGAGAGGUAAGUGGGGGAACUGAAACAUCUAAGUACCCCGAGGAAAAUAUAGACAUUCCCCUAGUAGUGGCGAACGAAAGGGGAACAGCCCAAACCUUGAUGACUCAGUGGAUUCGAGGCCUAUGUCAUCAGGGGGUUGUAAGGCAUGGCGGAGGAAGGGCUCGAAACCUUCCUGGGAGUUACAAACCGUAUCCCUAGCUGAAGGUCUCUGGAACGAGCCACCAUAGCGGGUGAUAGUCCUGUAGGUUAAAGGGUGAGGCUCCUAGUCAUGUUCUUAAGUACCACGGGACACGUGGAAUCCUGUGGGAAGCUGGGGUGACCACACUCCAAGGCUAAAUACUCUUGGCAACCGAUAGUGAACAAGUACCGUGAGGGAAAGGUGAAAAGAACCCCGGGAGGGGAGUGAAAAGAUCUGAAACCGUGUGCCUACAAGCAGUCAAAGUCCGUCUUCGGGCGGAUGAUGGCGUGCCUAUUGAAGAAUGAGCCGACGAGUUAAUCUAUGUAGCUAGGUUAAGUCGCUCAGCGACGGAGCCGUAGCGAAAGCGAGUCCGAAUAAGGCGUUGUCCUUCUUCGGAAGGACAGGUUGCAUGGAUUAGACGCGAAGCCGGGUGAGCUACCCAUGGCCAGGGUGAAGGUCGCCUAAUAGCGACUGGAGGUCCGAACCUAUUAGUGAGGCAAAACUACAGGAUGAGUUGUGGGUAGGGGUGAAAUGCCAACCGAACUCGGAGAUAGCUCGUUCUCCCCGAAAUGUAUUGAGGUACAGCCUCGGGUGUUGAGUUGCGCAGGUAGGGCACUGGAUGGGCUAGGGGGCAAGUAAGCUUACCAAACUCAACCAAACCGCGAAUGGCGUAACUAGAAAGCCCGGGAGUGAGACGGUGGGGGAUAAGCUUCAUCGUCAAGAGGGAAACAGCCCAGACCAUCAGCUAAGGUCCCCAAGUGUAGGCUAAGUGGUAAAGGAGGUAGAAGCGCUCAGACAGCCAGGAUGUUGGCUUAGAGGCAGCCACCAUUUAAAGAGUGCGUAACAGCUCACUGGUCGAGUGAAUCUGCGCCGACAAUCCAGCGGGGCUCAAGCCUACCACCGAAGCUAUGGGUCCGCCUUAGGGCGGGCUGUAGGGGAGCGUUCCCUUCGCAUCGAAGCUGUGGCGUGAGCCGUGGUGGAGCGUAGGGAAGUGAGAAUGUCGGCAUGAGUAGCGUAAGGCGUGUGUGAAACACGCCCACCGGAUGCCUGAGGUUUCCUACGGAAGGUUAAUCCGCGUAGGGUUAGUCGGGCCUAAGCCGAGGGCGAAAGCCGUAGGCGAUGGACAACUGGUCAACAUUCCAGUACCGCUUAUUUUUUGUAACCUAAGGGGGGACACAGGAAGGUAGGUCAAGCGUGCCCAUUGGACAUGGUGCGUCUCCGAUUGUAGGCGUGAGCUGAUAGGCAAAUCCGUCGGCUCGUUAAGCUGAAGAGAGGGGAAAGCUGAGGGGCAACCCGAGGCGAUUUGGCUGAGUCUACGCUGUCAAGAAAAUCCUCGUAGCUGAAGAAUGAGCGCCCGUACCGCAAACCGACUCUGGUAGGCGGGGAUGAGAGUCCCAAGGUGGUCGAGAGAAUCCUCGUUAAGGAACUCGGCAAUCUAGCUCCGUAACUUCGGGAUAAGGAGCGCCUCGGGGUGUGAGAGGACUCGUUUUUUGAGCACCCUGGGGCCGCAGUGAACGGGCCCAAGCGACUGUUUAACAAAAACACAGGUCUCUGCUAAAGCGUAAGCUUAGGUAUAGGGGCCGACACCUGCCCAGCGCCGGAAGGUUAAGGAGAUUUGUCAUGGCUCUUCGGAGCCGGCAGCAGAGAACCGAAGCCCCGGUAAGCGGCGGCCGUAACUAUAACGGUCCUAAGGUAGCGAAGUCCCUUGUCGGGUAAGUUCCGACCCGCACGAAUGGUGUAACGACUUGGGCGCUGUCUCAACGAGGGACUCGGCGAAAUUGAAAUACCCGUGAAGAUGCGGGUUACCCGCGACUGGACAAAAAGACCCCGUGGAGCUUUACUAUACCCUGGCAUUGAAUUGCGGCUUAGCAUGUGUAGAAUAGGUGGGAGGCUUUGAAGCCGGGGCGCCAGCCCUGGUGGAGCCGCCGUUGAAAUACCACUCUUGUUAAGUUUCGGUUCUAACCGCUGUGCAAGCAGGGAGACAGUGUCAGGCGGGUAGUUUGACUGGGGCGGUCGCCUCCUAAAGAGUAACGGAGGCGUCCAAAGGUCCCCUCAGGGUGGAUGGAAAUCACCCAUUGAGUAUAUUGGCAUAAGGGGGCUUGACUGUAAGACCAACAAGUCGAGCAGGGACGAAAGUCGGGCAAAGUGAUCCUACGGUACCGUGUGGAAGGGCCGUGGCUUAACGGAUAAAAGCUACCCCGGGGAUAACAGGCUUAUCUUGCCCAAGAGUUCACAUCGACGGCAAGGUUUGGCACCUCGAUGUCGGCUCGUCGCAUCCUGGGGCUGGAAAAGGUCCCAAGGGUCCGGCUGUUCGCCGGUUAAAGCGGUACGCGAGCUGGGUUCAGACCGUCGUGAGACAGGUCGGUCUCUAUCCGUCGUGGGCGCAGCAGAUUUGAGGGGAGAUCUCUCUAGUACGAGAGGACCGAGAGGUACAGACUUCUGGUGUACCAGUUGUCCUGCCAAGGGCAUCGCUGGGUAGCUAUGUCUGGUCAGGAGAACCGCUGAAAGCAUCUAAGUGGGAAGCCUACCCCAAGAUAAGAUCUCCCACCGGUUUAACCGGGUAAGACCGCAAGAAGAUUACUUGU
This 2923-nucleotide ribosomal RNA is filed under the name alkali sediment metagenome. RNAcentral describes it as "bacterial LSU rRNA". It matches the Rfam family "Bacterial large subunit ribosomal RNA". The record is from RNAcentral.